GGAAUAUUGGUCAAUGGUCGAGAGACUGAACCAGCCAAGUAGCGUGAAGGAUGACUGCCCUACGGGUUGUAAACUUCUUUUAUGCGGGAAUAAAGUGUGGCACGUGUGCCAUUUUGUAUGUACCGCAUGAAUAAGCAUCGGCUAAUUCCGUGCCAGCAGCCGCGGUAAUACGGAAGAUGCGAGCGUUAUCCGGAUUUAUUGGGUUUAAAGGGAGCGUAGGCGGACGCUUAAGUCUGCGGUAAAAUGUCGUUGCUCAACAUCGGCGUGCCGUGGAAACUGGGUGUCUUGAAUGUGCACAAGGUGGAUGGAAUUCGUGGUGUAGCGGUGAAAUGCUUAGAUAUCACGAAGAACUCCGAUUGCGAAGGCAGUCCACUGGGGCAUGAUUGACGCUGAGGCUCGAAAGUGCGGGAAUCAAACA
RNAcentral lists this ribosomal RNA (418 nucleotides) under uncultured bacterium. RNAcentral's name for it is "bacterial SSU rRNA". It matches the Rfam family "Bacterial small subunit ribosomal RNA", at positions 358 to 774 of the family's 1533-position model. The record is from RNAcentral.